UGGGGAAUUUUGGACAAUGGGCGCAAGCCUGAUCCAGCAAUGCCGCGUGCAGGAUGAAGGCCUUCGGGUUGUAAACUGCUUUUGUACGGAACGAAAAGGCUCUGGUUAAUACCUGGGGCUCAUGACGGUACCGUAAGAAUAAGCACCGGCUAACUACGUGCCAGCAGCCGCGGUAAUACGUAGGGUGCAAGCGUUAAUCGGAAUUACUGGGCGUAAAGCGUGCGCAGGCGGUUAUGUAAGACAGAUGUGAAAUCCCCGGGCUCAACCUGGGAACUGCGCUUGUGACUGCUAAGCUAGAGUACGGCAGAGGGGAGUGGAAUUCCACGUGUAGCAGUGAAAUGCGUAGAUAUGCGGAGGAACACCGAUGGCGAAGGCAAUCCCCUGGGCCUGUACUGACGCUCAUGCACGAAAGCGUGGGGAGCAAACA
Molecule: ribosomal RNA, 427 nt
Filed under: uncultured bacterium
Lineage: Bacteria
Description: bacterial SSU rRNA
Rfam family: Bacterial small subunit ribosomal RNA
Source: RNAcentral